Molecule: ribosomal RNA, 497 nt
Filed under: uncultured bacterium
Lineage: Bacteria
Description: partial 16S ribosomal RNA
Rfam family: Bacterial small subunit ribosomal RNA
Source: RNAcentral
GAUGAACGCUGGCGGCGUGCCUAAUACAUGCAAGUCGAGCGAACAGACGAGGAGCUUGCUCCUCUGACGUUAGCGGCGGACGGGUGAGUAACACGUGGAUAACCUACCUAUAAGACUGGGAUAACUUCGGGAAACCGGAGCUAAUACCGGAUAAUAUAUUGAACCGCAUGGUUCAAUAGUGAAAGACGGUUUUGCUGUCACUUAUAGAUGGAUCCGCGCCGCAUUAGCUAGUUGGUAAGGUAACGGCUUACCAAGGCAACGAUGCGUAGCCGACCUGAGAGGGUGAUCGGCCACACUGGAACUGAGACACGGUCCAGACUCCUACGGGAGGCAGCAGUAGGGAAUCUUCCGCAAUGGGCAAAACCCUGACGGAGCAACGCCGCGUGAGUGAUGAAGGUCUUCGGAUCGUAAAACUCUGUUAUUAGGGAAGAACAAAUGUGUAAGUAACUAUGCACGUCUUGACGGUACCUAAUCAGAAAGCCACGGCUAACUACGUG